This 483-nucleotide ribosomal RNA is filed under the name uncultured bacterium. RNAcentral's name for it is "partial 16S ribosomal RNA". It matches the Rfam family "Bacterial small subunit ribosomal RNA", at positions 28 to 506 of the family's 1533-position model. The record is from RNAcentral.
AUUGAACGCUGGCGGCAUGCUUUACACAUGCAAGUCGAACGGCAGCGCGGGCUUCGGCCUGGCGGCGAGUGGCGAACGGGUGAGUAAUGCAUCGGAACGUGCCCAGUAGUGGGGGAUAGCCCGGCGAAAGCCGGAUUAAUACCGCAUACGACCUGAGGGUGAAAGCGGGGGACCGAAAGGCCUCGCGCUAUUGGAGCGGCCGAUGUCGGAUUAGCUAGUUGGUGGGGUAAAGGCUUACCAAGGCGACGAUCCGUAGCUGGUCUGAGAGGACGACCAGCCACACUGGGACUGAGACACGGCCCAGACUCCUACGGGAGGCAGCAGUGGGGAAUUUUGGACAAUGGGGGCAACCCUGAUCCAGCCAUGCCGCGUGCGGGUAGAAGGCCUUCGGGUUGUAAACCGCUUUUGUUCGGGAAGAAAUCCUCUGGGCUAAUACCCCGGGGGGAUGACGGUACCGGAAGAAUAAGCACCGGCUAACUACGU